Molecule: small nuclear RNA, 23 nt
Filed under: Arabidopsis thaliana (thale cress)
Lineage: Eukaryota; Viridiplantae; Streptophyta; Magnoliopsida; Brassicales; Brassicaceae
Description: snRNA_06390
Source: RNAcentral
CCUAAAUUUUGAUGUCAAUUGUU